UGGGGGGCUUCUUCCUCGCUCCCGGGGCCCCCUCCUCCGGUCGUUUUGCAGCUAGAAGACGGCCUGUUAGACGGAGCCUCGGCGGGCCUGGGCUGGAAGGGGGCGGGCCUGCCCUUCAGCCCCUCGCCUGGUCGACCCCGGAGAGUAUUUGAAGCUCGCGCUUCCUCCACCGCCCGAGCUGCAGACCCUUCUUCCCAGCGCGGCGCGACGGCCCCAAGUGGAUGGGCUGUCUCUGGUGAACACGUCCAACUCCAGAGGCUGUGACUCUGGGGACCUUCGUGACCCCAAGACAGGGUCACACACCCGUGGCAUUUGGUCGCCAAAUUCCAGGUACCCAGGAUCUGCCCACCCUCUGGAUCUUUACCAAAUUCCUUCUUUAGGAGACCUUGGCCUGGGUGAAACCACCUACUGCAAGAGGUGACACGAGGCGGGGGCGGGGGUGGUGGUGCUGGGGGGCUGCUGGAGGGAGGCACAAUAGCUGCCCUGGAAGGACAGGUACCCAAAUAGAAGGGCAGGCCCCUUCUUCUCACACACACCUCCCCCUCCACCCUCCCCCUCCCAAACCCCAGCUCCCUGCUACUUUUUAUAACCAGCUUUACUUGAGAUCCCACUACACAUUCAGAAAAUAAUCCCACCCACACAUCCUCUGCCCCAAGGUAGCUGGAACAAGAUGAAGGAGAAAGACAAAGGGAUGCCAUCACAUUCACUCUGCCCUCCACAGGCUGGGCACACAGUAGGCACACACACCUACAAUCAGUGAGGACCAGAAGGGUUGCAGACAGAUGCGUUCAGAGGCCACUGCGGGGCUGGGGGCAGGGUAGACAGAGGAGGGAUCCAGGGACACUUGGGCGGUAAAAUCCACCAGACCCUGUAGAUGGGGGAUUAGACGCGGAGCAUGACACCCUGGGCUUCUAACUGGUCCUGCUGGGUGGGUACUGGUGCCACCUAGGGAAAGGGGCAGGGAUGAGAGGAGGAGAUCACGGAGCUCAUGAGUUGGGUUUCAGCCACGAGAGCCGGAGGUCAAGGUUGGCAUGAGCGGAAGCCCAAGGGAUAGAUUUGUGGGCCAGAGGCUCUGGCAGCGCAGGAAGCCAAGCCCGUGAGGAGGGGCUACAGAGCUGAGCUGCAAGCAUCCCUUAGAGCCGUGGGUUUCCAGUUGCUCAACUUGACCUAGCAGAGCUGCGGCUUCUAGGACUGUGGCCAUCAGCCUCCUGGAAGCAUCUCCAUAUACACUGAAUAAAAGGAAAUGAAAUUGAAAAACACAGCUCCCUGGUGACACUAACCAUGUUUCAAGACGCUACUGUAUCAUUGCCAACAUCACGGAAGGUUCUAUGGGGACGGCCGGGCACUAGAAGACUGUGGAGUCCACCUGGGAGGGGGAUGAGCAGCAUUGGAAAAGACAGAUAACAGGGUCCAGGAGCUAGAAGAGGACACAGUCCUGGCCACCUAGAGCUUGGGGACUGGUACGAUCGAAGGGACGUGAGACAAGGACCCCCAUUCAACCGACUGGCUCCAAGCUGAGCCUUGGAGAGGUGGCUGGGGACAGGAGGAAAAGACGGAGCCCCCCGUGCAUUGCCAGGAUUUCUCUUUCCGUAUCCCAGCCUCCCUGCUCCCUGGGGCACACAGGUGGAUGGCGGAGGCAGCCAGUGAAGGCACCAACCGAGGGGCAGAACCUCCACAUGCCAUGGGCGCAGGCCAAAAGGAGAGAGUGAUGGAGGGAGGAAGAAACGCUGGGAGACACAACCUCCAAGUCUCAAGUGGAAACGGGGAGAGAGGCGUCAUGGGAGGGAGCAGCUCUCGAAGUCCCAGCUGGCCCCCCCUAGCUUCGCAAGGACAGCGCUACCUCUCCUCAACUCUAAGACACCAUCCACCACCUUACGGCGCACUUUUCCGUAUCACUCAGAAAGAGAAACCGCUGGCGAUUAAAUUUGCCGACACGAUAUCGUGAGCUUUUUCGGGCACACAGAGUUUGGGGAACUAUACGAUGGGCAGGCACACGCGCACCACCCAGCCUCUGCCGCUGACAUGUGGUUCUAUCGCACAUCGGUGCCUCGAGCCAUCCAUCAUUCCACCUUUUUUAAAAAAAAAUUAUUAAAUAGUUGAUUGACAAUGCA
This is a non-coding RNA of Sus scrofa (pig), 2111 nucleotides long. The record is from RefSeq and is a predicted model, not a curated record. NCBI's taxonomy places the organism in Eukaryota, Metazoa, Chordata, Mammalia, Artiodactyla, Suidae.